UACGGAGUGUGCAAGCGUUGUCCGGAAUCACUGGGCGUAAAGGGCGCGUAGGCGGCCUGGUAAGUAGGGGGUGAAAUCCUGCGGCUUAACCGCAGGGCUGCCUUCUAAACUGUCAGGCUUGAGCACGGUAGAGGCAGAUGGAAUUCCCGGUGUAGCGGUGGAAUGCGUAGAGAUCGGGAAGAACAUCAGUGGCGAAGGCGGUCUGCUGGGCCGUUGCUGACGCUGAGGCGCGACAGCGUGGGGAGCAAACAGG
Molecule: ribosomal RNA, 253 nt
Filed under: uncultured bacterium
Lineage: Bacteria
Description: partial 16S ribosomal RNA
Rfam family: Bacterial small subunit ribosomal RNA
Source: RNAcentral